This 201-nucleotide long non-coding RNA is filed under the name Musa acuminata (dwarf banana). Its description in RNAcentral is "long non-coding RNA (MACU_LNC011074)". The record is from RNAcentral. Lineage: Eukaryota; Viridiplantae; Streptophyta; Magnoliopsida; Zingiberales; Musaceae.
AAGAAGAAGAAGAGAAGUAGAGGGAGAAGAGAAGAAAAGAAGAAGAAGAGGGAAAAGAAGAGAGGAAGAAGAGGGAGAAGAGAAGAAAAGAAGAAGAAGAAGAGAGGGAAGAGGGAGAGGAAAGAGAGAUAGAUACAGCAGCUAGGGCUGCAGCACCUCUGUUUCGUGUAGGAGGAAACAGAGGAGUUCAUGUGUGGGGCG